AAGUCGUAACAAGGUUUCCGUAGGUGAACCUGCGGAAGGAUCAUUAACGUAUCUCUGGUCUGGGAGGGCGGUCCGUCCCGCGACAUUGUGUGGUCUCCUGCAGCCCGUCGGGGCUGGCCGCUCCUGCCGACCAAAACCUUACAAACCCCCCUGUGCACCUUAACGGCCGAUGGCCCCUCGGGGCCGGAAGCCGCUUCACUAAACACUCGAGGAUGUCUCUGCGAACUCUGUUCGCCUAACUACCGAAACAACUUUCAACAACGGAUCUCUUGGCUCUC
This 278-nucleotide unclassified non-coding RNA is filed under the name air metagenome. Its description in RNAcentral is "partial contains small subunit ribosomal RNA, internal transcribed spacer 1, and 5.8S ribosomal RNA". The stretch from base 1 to 46 matches the Rfam family "Eukaryotic small subunit ribosomal RNA", at positions 1786 to 1831 of the family's 1831-position model. The record is from RNAcentral.